GUGGAAGGGCCGUGGCUUAACGGAUAAAAGCUACCCCGGGGAUAACAGGCUUAUCUUGCCCAAGAGUUCACAUCGACGGCAAGGUUUGGCACCUCGAUGUCGGCUCGUCGCAUCCUGGGGCUGAAGCAGGUCCCAAGGGUUGGGCUGUUCGCCCAUUAAAGCGGCACGCGAGCUGGGUUCAGACCGUCGUGAGACAGGUCGGUCUCUAUCCGUUGUGGGCGCUGGAGAUUUGAGGAGAGCUCUCCCUAGUACGAGAGGAUUGGGAGGGACGGACCUCUGGUGUGUCAGUUGUCGCGCCAGCGGCAGUGCUGGGUAGCCAUGUCCGGAUGAGAUAAACGCUGAAAGCAUCUAAGUGUGAAGCUCACUCCAAGAUGAGAUCUCCCACCGGCUUGACCGGGUAAGACCGCAAGUAGACUACUUGCUUGAUAGGCAGCAGGUGUAAGCACAGCAAUGUGUUGAGCUGAGCUGUACUAAUGGUCGAGGUCUUUGACCUACA
Molecule: ribosomal RNA, 496 nt
Filed under: Chloroflexota bacterium
Lineage: Bacteria; Bacillati; Chloroflexota
Description: Chloroflexi bacterium (hot springs metagenome) partial 23S ribosomal RNA
Rfam family: Bacterial large subunit ribosomal RNA
Source: RNAcentral